RNAcentral lists this ribosomal RNA (517 nucleotides) under uncultured bacterium. RNAcentral describes it as "bacterial SSU rRNA". It matches the Rfam family "Bacterial small subunit ribosomal RNA", at positions 1 to 507 of the family's 1533-position model. The record is from RNAcentral.
ACGAGUUUGAUCCUGGCUCAGGACAAACGCUGGCGGCGUGCCUAAUACAUGCAAGUCGAGCGGACCAAAGGGAGCUUGCUCCUGGAGGUUAGCGGCGAACGGGUGAGUAACACGUGGGCAACCUGCCUGUAAGACUGGGAUAACAUCGAGAAAUCGGUGCUAAUACCGGAUAAUAAAAAGAACUGCAUGGUUCUUUUUUGAAAGAUGGUUUCGGCUAUCACUUACAGAUGGGCCCGCGGCGCAUUAGCUAGUUGGUGAGGUAACGGCUCACCAAGGCAACGAUGCGUAGCCGACCUGAGAGGGUGAUCGGCCACACUGGGACUGAGACACGGCCCAGACUCCUACGGGAGGCAGCAGUAGGGAAUCUUCCGCAAUGGACGAAAGUCUGACGGAGCAACGCCGCGUGAGUGAUGAAGGUUUUCGGAUCGUAAAACUCUGUUGUUAGGGAAGAACAAGUGCCGUUCGAAAGGGCGGCACCUUGACGGUACCUAACGAGAAAGCCACGGCUAACUACGUG